Molecule: ribosomal RNA, 641 nt
Filed under: Campylobacter coli
Lineage: Bacteria; Pseudomonadati; Campylobacterota; Epsilonproteobacteria; Campylobacterales; Campylobacteraceae
Description: partial 23S ribosomal RNA
Rfam family: Bacterial large subunit ribosomal RNA
Source: RNAcentral
AGGAAACUUACAACAAAGAGUCCCUCCCGACUGUUUACCAAAAACACAGCACUCUGCUAACUCGUAAGAGGAUGUAUAGGGUGUGACGCCUGCCCGGUGCUCGAAGGUUAAUUGAUGGGGUUAGCAUUAGCGAAGCUCUUGAUCGAAGCCCGAGUAAACGGCGGCCGUAACUAUAACGGUCCUAAGGUAGCGAAAUUCCUUGUCGGUUAAAUACCGACCUGCAUGAAUGGCGUAACGAGAUGGGAGCUGUCUCAAAGAGGGAUCCAGUGAAAUUGUAGUGGAGGUGAAAAUUCCUCCUACCCGCGGCAAGACGGAAAGACCCCGUGGACCUUUACUACAGCUUGACACUGCUAUUUGGAUAAGAAUGUGCAGGAUAGGUGGGAGGCUUUGAGUAUAUGACGCCAGUUGUAUAUGAGCCAUUGUUGAGAUACCACUCUUUCUUAUUUGGGUAGCUAACCAGCUUGAGUUAUCCUCAAGUGGGACAAUGUCUGGUGGGUAGUUUGACUGGGGCGGUCGCCUCCCAAAUAAUAACGGAGGCUUACAAAGGUUGGCUCAGAACGGUUGGAAAUCGUUCGUAGAGUAUAAAGGUAUAAGCCAGCUUAACUGCAAGACAUACAAGUCAAGCAGAGACGAAAGUCGGU